This 514-nucleotide ribosomal RNA is filed under the name Streptomyces sp. 431B01. RNAcentral describes it as "bacterial SSU rRNA". It matches the Rfam family "Bacterial small subunit ribosomal RNA", at positions 143 to 671 of the family's 1533-position model. The record is from RNAcentral. Lineage: Bacteria; Bacillati; Actinomycetota; Actinomycetes; Kitasatosporales; Streptomycetaceae.
ACAAGCCCUGGAAACGGGGUCUAAUACCGGAUACGAGUUUCACAGGCAUCUGUGAUUCUGGAAAGCUCCGGCGGUGCAGGAUGAGCCCGCGGCCUAUCAGCUUGUUGGUGAGGUAACGGCUCACCAAGGCGACGACGGGUAGCCGGCCUGAGAGGGCGACCGGCCACACUGGGACUGAGACACGGCCCAGACUCCUACGGGAGGCAGCAGUGGGGAAUAUUGCACAAUGGGCGAAAGCCUGAUGCAGCGACGCCGCGUGAGGGAUGACGGCCUUCGGGUUGUAAACCUCUUUCAGCAGGGAAGAAGCGAGAGUGACGGUACCUGCAGAAGAAGCGCCGGCUAACUACGUGCCAGCAGCCGCGGUAAUACGUAGGGCGCAAGCGUUGUCCGGAAUUAUUGGGCGUAAAGAGCUCGUAGGCGGCUUGUCGCGUCGGUUGUGAAAGCCCGGGGCUUAACCCCGGGUCUGCAGUCGAUACGGGCAGGCUAGAGUUCGGUAGGGGAGAUCGGAAUUCCU